Molecule: long non-coding RNA, 1206 nt
Organism: Vespa mandarinia (Asian giant hornet)
Lineage: Eukaryota; Metazoa; Arthropoda; Insecta; Hymenoptera; Vespidae
Source: RefSeq, a predicted model, not a curated record
GCUACAAACAAAAAAUAUCUUCCUUUAGAUAACAUUCCUUUUCUUCGUUAGACAUACCAUCGAACAUUAGACAGAUAUGGCAAUACACAUCUCCUUCGAUAAUAAAUUCAAUGUUAAUAGAUCUUGUAUUGUAUUACUCAGAUAACAUUAAUGGUGUGACAAGAGUUAUUUAAUAUGAUUAAUAAUAUUGCCGGAAAAAAAAGCAUAUCCGCGAAUAAGAUAGAUAUUAAUUACUUUUCAUUGAUUCUCAAUCUCAAUAACGAUAAAACGAUAAAGCAUACACUUAAGAAAUAUUCAUGUUUCUCAAAAUGAUUCUUGAAGAACGUAUGAAAAAGGCAACGGAUGAUAGAUAUUAUUUGAUAUUUGCGUUGUCGAUAAUAACAAAUAAUAAGAACUUUAGGAGAUGCUUGUGUAAGAAAAUGAAAAAACAAUUUAUCGUGAAAUAUAUAAUAUUAUAUCGCAUUCUUAUGCGACGAUCGUUUAAUCGUUCUUAAAGAAAAUGACACACACCUCUUACCAUCGAACAUUUACGAUGGAUUUGUCGAACACACAUGAUAGGAAGAAUUAUUCAGUAGCAUUCUUGUACUUCAUUUCACUGCAUAGUAGAGUGAUAAGCAUCAUGGAUUUUUCACAUAGCAUCCAGCGGGCUGAGUGUGACAGUGCAUGCACUGAAGCGAAACAUAUGUACAUACAUGCUAAAACGAAAACAAUAACAAAAUAACAACAUUCAUCAAAAUCUGUAUAGCACAACUUUCGAAUGAAUAAAAUAUUAUAGAUACCUCGAACAUAAGGAGGGGAAGCAUGACAAUUUCCAUGGCAGCUACGUGGCAAAACUAGUGAAAGGCGCCUCAAAGCUUCUGCUAGGCGGCCUGCAGCCCCAAUUUGUUCACUCUCAGCGAAAUCGAAUUGCUCUCCGAUGUUAUCUUCAAAUAGAAGCAAACGGUAAUCCGAAUAUUUUAAUAAUUAAUUUGAAUUCUACAAAAUUUGGCUUUUCUUUCAAAUAUUUCUCCUAUAUUGUAAUGUGUCAAAAAAGCUUGGUGUUACGAACGAUCAUUAAAGGAAAUAUGUCAAUAUAUGUGGGGGGUUUUCACUUUACAAUAGCUAAUCUCAAAUAUUAUCGAUAUUAGAAUCCUUUAGAUAUUAACAAUAUCUAUCAUUUUAAUAUAGUCUAACGAAAAUAUGAAUGUAUAAAAAAAAAGAAAAAGA